AUCUAUCCUGCAUUUUGAAGAUAAGUGUUAAACGUGAAGCGUCUUAUUUUUGUAGGUGAUGGACAAAGUAACUUUAUGCGAGCAGGCGCUUCAAAUCACAUUACCGAACAGCUGUUAAAAGUGAGACUGUAUAAUAAUGACGCGACCUCUAUGGGGGAGAUAAUUUCUGGUCACCAUUGGAAGAGAAACAAAACACUAAACAUGAAGUUAUCAAUCCUGUUUGUUGCCGUCUUGACUACCAUCAAGCCUGGUAUAGGUAAUGUACAAUUAUUGAAUAUGUUUAUCAUAUACUCACUGACACAUACAUGUAUUCCCCGU
This 318-nucleotide long non-coding RNA is filed under the name Gigantopelta aegis. RNAcentral's name for it is "uncharacterized LOC121385757, transcript variant X1". Lineage: Eukaryota; Metazoa; Mollusca; Gastropoda; Neomphalida; Peltospiridae. The record is from RNAcentral.